RNAcentral lists this ribosomal RNA (465 nucleotides) under Vreelandella stevensii. Its description in RNAcentral is "partial 16S ribosomal RNA". It matches the Rfam family "Bacterial small subunit ribosomal RNA", at positions 338 to 795 of the family's 1533-position model. Lineage: Bacteria; Pseudomonadati; Pseudomonadota; Gammaproteobacteria; Oceanospirillales; Halomonadaceae. The record is from RNAcentral.
CCUACGGGAGGCUGCAGUGGGGAAUAUUGGACAAUGGGCGAAAGCCUGAUCCAGCCAUGCCGCGUGUGUGAAGAAGGCCUUCGGGUUGUAAAGCACUUUCAGUGGGGAAGAAAGCCUUGGGGCUAAUACCCUCGAGGAAGGACAUCACCCACAGAAGAAGCACCGGCUAACUCCGUGCCAGCAGCCGCGGUAAUACGGAGGGUGCGAGCGUUAAUCGGAAUUACUGGGCGUAAAGCGCGCGUAGGCGGUCUGAUAAGCCGGUUGUGAAAGCCCCGGGCUCAACCUGGGAACGGCAUCCGGAACUGUCAGGCUAGAGUGCAGGAGAGGAAGGUAGAAUUCCCGGUGUAGCGGUGAAAUGCGUAGAGAUCGGGAGGAAUACCAGUGGCGAAGGCGGUCUUCUGGACUGACACUGACGCUGAGGUGCGAAAGCGUGGGUAGCAAACAGGAUUAGAUACCCCGGUAGUC